GUGUGUGUGUGACAAAUCGACACUUGUAUCGAGAGAUGGUGAGUGAUAAAAUUCAGACGCGGCCGAAAGUGCGAUAAGAUUGGGGGUUUGAUAAAUUGAGUAGUUUCGUACUUUCAUUUUCACGGAUUGGUUCAAUUCGAAGAGAAGGAGAGAGGAAUUGGGCAGAGAUGAGAUGGAGAGACGAAUUUGAGAAGCUGUCGAGGAAUAUAAGCGGCGGCUACGACGAUCCAACCACCACGGAAGAAGAUUAGCGUCAGCUCCGACGGACUAAUACUUUGUCGACCAGAAAGAAGACCGGCAAAUUUGGCAACCUGGUGAGGAAGAUUAGCGGCGGCUCCGACGUACUAACCAACGGGGAAGAAGACUUGCGGCGGCUCCGAUAACCUAUUCCUAGCCUGGUUUCGAGAUCUUGGGGCCGGUUUCAGUAAAAUAUUAUCAGAGAGACGCUGUGCACAAGAUUUCGGAAAUCCUCCAAAUAUGCCCCGAUGAUGCGUUUACCUUACUAAAAUGCUUCCGUUGGUGUGGAGAUCAUGUUCUUGAUGGCUGGUUUGAUGGACUGAUUGACACGUCCAAGUAUCUCCUGUGCCCUUCUCCUAACGAUGAUGAGUUCUGCUGUGGCAUUUGCUUCGAUACUCUUCCUAUUCUUAAGGCUGCGCCCUCUUUGUGUGGUCACCUUUAUUGCAAAGGUUGCAUGAAAGCAUACCUCUCUGUUCUUGUAAAAGAUCAUGGAUCAACUGUCCUAGACACCAAGUGUCCACAUGAGAAAUGUGACAGAACCUUAGGCCUAGGUUUAGUAAAAGCAUCAGCAAGUCCUAGGGAUUUCGAAAAAUAUCGUAGGUUUUCUAUGAGGUCAUACAUUGAGGAUAGUACAACGCGGAAAUGGUGUCCUUCCCCUAACUGCAACUGUGCCAUAGCACUCAAAGAUCCAUCAUCGAUUCUGUUGGCAGUGUAACUGGGAAGGGCACUAUCCUGCAGACUGCUCAAUUGCCAUUAACUGGUUGAGUUUUGAACACAAUGAGAAGUGUAAUAACUGG
Molecule: long non-coding RNA, 1034 nt
Organism: Arabidopsis lyrata subsp. lyrata
Lineage: Eukaryota; Viridiplantae; Streptophyta; Magnoliopsida; Brassicales; Brassicaceae
Exons: 5
Source: RefSeq, a predicted model, not a curated record